RNAcentral lists this ribosomal RNA (430 nucleotides) under Pseudomonadota bacterium. RNAcentral's name for it is "Proteobacteria bacterium partial 16S ribosomal RNA". It matches the Rfam family "Bacterial small subunit ribosomal RNA", at positions 355 to 776 of the family's 1533-position model. Lineage: Bacteria; Pseudomonadati; Pseudomonadota. The record is from RNAcentral.
UGGGGAAUAUUGGACAAUGGGGUGAACCCUGAUCCAGCCAUGCCGCGUGUGUGAAGAAGGCCUUAUGGUUGUAAAGCACUUUAAGCGAGGAGGAGGGUACUGGUAUUAAUACUACCAGGUACUGGACGUUACUCGCAGAAUAAGCACCGGCUAACUCUGUGCCAGCAGCCGCGGUAAUACAGAGGGUGCGAGCGUUAAUCGGAUUUACUGGGCGUAAAGCGUGCGUAGGCGGCUAAUUGAGUCGGAUGUGAAAUCCCCGAGCUUAACUUGGGAAUUGCAUUCGAUACUGGUUAGCUAGAGUGUGGGAGAGGAUGGUAGAAUUCCAGGUGUAGCGGAGAAAUGCGUAGAGAUCUGGAGGAAUACCGAUGGCGAAGGCAGCCAUCUGGCCUAACACUGACGCUGAGGUACGAAAGCAUGGGGAGCAAACAGG